UACAGAGGGGGCAAGCGUUGUUCGGAAUUACUGGGCGUAAAGGGCGCGUAGGCGGCCUGCUAAGUCGAACGUGAAAUCCCUGGGCUCAACCCAGGAACUGCGUCCGAUACUGGUUGGCUUGAAUCCGGGAGAGGGAUGUGGAAUUCCAGGUGUAGCGGUGAAAUGCGUAGAUAUCUGGAGGAACACCGGUGGCGAAGGCGACAUCCUGGACCGACACUGACACUGAGGAGCGAAAGCCAGGGGAGCAAACGGG
RNAcentral lists this ribosomal RNA (253 nucleotides) under uncultured bacterium. Its description in RNAcentral is "partial 16S ribosomal RNA". It matches the Rfam family "Bacterial small subunit ribosomal RNA", at positions 524 to 776 of the family's 1533-position model. The record is from RNAcentral.